Non-coding RNA from Camellia sinensis, 576 nucleotides. NCBI's taxonomy places the organism in Eukaryota, Viridiplantae, Streptophyta, Magnoliopsida, Ericales, Theaceae. The record is from RefSeq and is a predicted model, not a curated record.
AAUCUCUGCAGACCACUGGAAAAUUAAAGGAUGCGGAAUGAAUUGGAGAAAGCCGUAAAUAUCAUAUGGAACUCUCGGCUACCAUCACCAAGAUGUGUUGCAAUAGAUGCUGUUGUUGAGCUUGAUUUGGUCUCUGCUCUACAAGUGUCCGUCUUCCCUGAGCUUGUCUUCACUAAAGCUGGAAGGAUCUUAUACCGUGAGAGAGCCGAUAUAUAGUGAGAUCAAUUUGGUGGGAUAGCUGCUGCUCGGUGCUACAUACAUAAUUUGGUGGGUUGUUUUCAAGCAUUGUUUGAGGGCUUUGUUGUUGACAACUUCAGCGCACAGAAGGUGUUGAUUUGGGUUGUUAUUUUGGAUCUUCUACAAUUCUGUUUUGAAAGAUUUUUGUUCAUCUAUUUGGUGAGGUCUUUCCUCUUGUUUAUUUGUGAUUAUUUGAAAUUUACCUACGGGUGGUUUGUGAGACCAUUCGUGUCUCGUCUGUAAUCAUUUGGAAACUCUUUGAUUGAUAAUGGAAUCGGAUUUCGAUCCCGUGGACAUAUCUCACAUUGAGGGAACCACGUAAAAUUCUUGUAUUGCUUU